RNAcentral lists this long non-coding RNA (4864 nucleotides) under Olea europaea subsp. europaea. Lineage: Eukaryota; Viridiplantae; Streptophyta; Magnoliopsida; Lamiales; Oleaceae. The record is from RNAcentral.
CCCCUCCCUCCGUACAACCGUCAACGUUUUGGAUUAGCCAAAUGAAACACCUAUCUUCUCUCAAUCACAAAAUUAAACCCUACUUUGCUCUUUCUCUAAACUCUCCUCUCUCAAUCACCGAUGAAACUCUGCCUCUCAUUCCUUCGCGCUAUCAAUCUUUCGAAGUUCCGGCAAUCUUCCUUCAAGGUUGUCUCAGGUAUUUCUGCGAGCUCAGAAUUGGAAUUUUUUCAUCAAUUCCAUCCAAAAUGUUGUUCUUAAUAACACAACCUGUUUCAAAUUACCCUAAUAGAUUCGACAUGUAUUGUGCGUUAAUAGUAGAUAUAAACUAAGUGCUAGACCCACCACAAAAUCAACUUUGACUGUGACAUAUUUUCAUAAGAAUUUUGAUAGAACUUUCUCUGAAAUAUAGACUAAAACCAUAUGAAAUAUAAUAAUAUUUUCCCAACAUAUACAUGUAAUUUGAAAUAGAGUACACCUGCUCUUUCAAAUAUAAACCAUUGAAAUUUUUGAAGACUUUGAUGGGCUUUUUUAAGUAAUGAUUUCUACGGACUUUCGUGGAUCUUUUAUAAAUUUGUAUGAAAUUAGUGAAAAUUUUUGGUACACUUCUAUUGACUUUCAAUUUAAAAUUUUAUAAACUUUUGUAUACUUAAAAUGUUUAUUGAAGAUUUUCAUUUGAAAUAGAAUUCAUGUAAAUCUAGUCCAAUGGUUUGAAUUCUCGCAUAUGAGAUGUUGGUUCCCACAAUUCACCUUUUCCUUCCAUUUCUUCUUCUAAUAUAAUUUUUAAAAAAAUUAGAAGAAUAAAAAUUUAAGACAUUAAUUAAAUAAAUAAAUAAUCAAUAUUAUAGAUAUAUAUGAUAAACACUAAAUUUUGGAUUCAAUAUUAUUAAUAUAAUAUACUUUUAAAAAUAAAUAAAAUCAAUAUAUUUAAAUUUAAUUAUAAAUUUUUCAUAUAAAAUUUUAUACUUUAAUAAAAAGUAGAUAUUUUCACAAAAAAAGAAUGAAAAAGGAAAAAAAAAAGUUACAAGAAUCCAAUUUAAUUUUUUUUUAUAUAGAAAAUAGAAAUAAACAAUAAGAGAGAGAAAAACAAAUGGAAAUAAAUAUAAUCAAUAGAAAAAAAGGAAAUAAAGAUUAAAAAAUAUUUUUUUUUUGUGUGAAAGUCUCCCAAAAUCUUGGUAUUAAUGAGAGACAAAUUUCGAGAUUUUAUAUGAAUAAUUCCUGUUUAACAAUUAGUACUCUGGAUGCUUUUAUAAAUGUAUCUAGAAGUCAUUAAAAUGUGAAGACCCCAGGACUUAUAAAAACCUUUAAAAAGUUUUAAUUGAAUACGCCAUAACUUUUAGAAACUUUUUAAAAUUAUAAAAAAGUCUCAAAUCAAUUGAAUAUAUUGUAACUUUUAAAGAUUUCUUAAAAAUCUAUAAAAGUCUCAAUUGAAUACAUCAAUACUUUUAAAAAGUCCUAAAAAGUCCCAAUUGAAUGCUUCUAAACUUUUUAAAUCCAAAAAAAGUCAUUAAAAGUAUUAAUUGAAUGCAUCUUCUAAAUUUCCAACACAUUCAAAACUUACUAAAUAUGAAAUAAGCCCAUGAUAUGAAUACAUUUUUGGACAAGAGAUGUAUAUAUUCCAAUAUAUGAACUAAAUAAACUAACAAAACGAGUUAUACAAGUAAUGAUAAUGUGUGGCUCAACUUGGCAGAUCAUUAAGCUCCAACGCUGUUCAACUCGACUACUAUCCGGUAAAAAAAAAUGGAUGACAAAAUUUAUGAGUUUGUAAUUCAGUGAGUGGAUAUUUCACAAAUAAGUAUACUUUUUCUAUUUAAACAACCUUCUUGAAAAUACUUAUGCUAUUAAAAGUUUGAGAAAGUCCAAAGCCUAAUAACUCUUUUAAGAUUAAAACGUAAUGGAAUCAUACAAUUCUUUACCCUUUAUUUUGAAUAAAUCACUGUAAGGUAUAAUCAAUAUAAUAAAUCUGACAUCCAUACUAUGAGUAAAAAUAUCAUUUUCACGGUAUUAUAAGUUGGAUCUUUAUUCUAUAAAUUAAAUAAACUAAAUUCUGUAAUCUGAUAAGUUGUAUAAUACUAAAAAUCACACUAAAGAUGUACCUAGAAUAACUAUACUCAUGUACCGAUUAAUCUCGAAGUACAUGACAAGGUUAUUCAAUUAUGAAAUUCUAUAAUUCUGAGAUUCUGUAAUUCUGGUUAUACGCACGCACAACAGUCCAAAGGCUAUAAUUUGGUCACACACUAUUGAAACACAUUCACAAUAGUGCGGAAUGGGUAAAAUCACCAUAACUGAUCAUACACCGUGGAAAUAAAUUCAUACCAAUGCAGAGUGUGUAAAAUAAUUACAUGGGAUCAUACGCUGUGGAAACAUAUUUACACAAGUGUAGAUUAGGAAAAAAUCACCUGAGUACUUGUUGGUGGUUUUAAAAAAAUAACUUUAAAUAUUCUAAAAUAUCUGAUACUCAUAUAAUGUGUUAAUAAAAUUAUUUAACUAAACCAAAUUUAACUUUAAUAAGAAUUAUCUAUGAAAUUCACUUUAUUCUGAAAAUCAUGCUGUCAAAUCAAUUGUAUGAAAUAAUAAAUUUUCUAGUAUAAUAUAAAUUUAAUAAAUAUUAAUUUCUGAAAAAUAAGUUUUUAUCCACUCACAGAUCCAUGAAUAGAAUCUGGCUAAAUUGAAGAGACUUUCCAAACUUUCACGUCAUUACUUGAAAUAACGAUAUAAUUACUCAAAUGUAAGUCCACUAAGUAAUUCCACCACUUCUAUAUUUAUUCUUGAAUCUCCAUUUCCCUAACUUUUCUUCUUUUUUAUUUUUACCAACCCAUCACUGCACAUAAUCAAAUCUAUAAGAACCCCAUACUUUCUUAAAACCACUACCUUAUACAUACACAAUUUAAUCCAAUACAUAGACUUCAAUAUUCAUCAUUUAGUUUUUUCAUCCAAACCUUUUAAAUUUGAGAAAACAAAGGUUUGACAAAAACAGCACUACUAUUCUAGAGUAUUAAAUUCUGGCACCUAUUUCUGUUUAUUGAAAACUGCCGCCGAAGCCAUUGACAGAAAUAGCACUUUUUGGGCAGAAUUUCAAAAUAGCACUUAUGCAUUAAUUUUGCCCCAAAAAUUAAUUUAAAUUACCAAAAUUCAACCUUAACUCCAUAUUUCAUUGUAAUGCAUCAUAAAUCAAGUGCUUAUAUCAAAUAAAUAUAAUAAAUCUAAGGUAUGAAUAUAUAAUUUACAACCAAUUUCAUAUUUUUUCUUCUUCAACAUCUAUCUUCCAAUUUACAUUAUUCUUACUGUCUAAUAUUUUAAAUACAUAUCAAUUGCCUUUAAUUCUUGCUAAACUUCAAUUAUAAGCAAUUUCCACAAUCCCUAGAAAUUUAAUUAUAAUGUUUUCACUUAGCUCUUGAAUAUAAGGAGGAAUUGAGAAUCUAAACUUAAAAAAUGGGCACCUACCUCUUCCUUCUUCUUUCCUCUUUCUUUUCUUUCCUUUUCUCUACCUCUUUCUCGAUUUCUCUCCAAGGAAAUGAAAAAAAAGGGUUUUUUUUUUUUUUUUUAUCAAUUUAACAAUUGGAUACAAUGAAAUUAUUAAUAAUUAGGCCCUCAACUUUGCAACCUAUAUGUUUUCAUUAAAUUUAGAACUUACCUAUUUGUUCUUAUACUCACAAAUUAACCUCAACAAGUAUCACUUGCUUAUACAAGUCCUCAUGAAAUUAUUUUACAUAAUUUAAGUUCUCGUUUGACUCUUGACUUUGAUCAAUAGAAUUUUUGACUUUGACUAUAAUGAAUGAGGUGUAAUACUUAAAAUCAACAGCAUUUGUGUUCACGUAUCAAAUAAUUAGAUUUUUGGAAAGGAGGAGUCAAAUGCUGGAAUUAAGGAUCUAGGCCGACGAAUUAAAGUGAGCAUACUCUUUGUAUAGUUGAAAUUUUUUAAACAAGCCAUUUUGGAGUAAAAAUAAACUGGAACCUGGCUGAAGAAUAUUGAAGAUUGGUGCUUUGAUGGCUAAUUAAUAUCUAUGGAUUUACUAUUAAAGUUUGAAGAUGUGCCUUUUUUUUCCUCUAAAAAUUUUGUUGAAAAAAUAAAAACAGGAAUAGCAAUAGAUGAGAUUGACCCUAAUUCUAUUAAUCUCGGUGUCGAUUUGAAUUCUGGUCUUGGAGUAUUUGAUGCUCUCUUGCGAGUUUUUCUCUGAUUCUUGUGAGCGAGGUUAGUGAAUGCAUUUCUUAAGUAUAGCAUUCUACGAAAUUUAACUUAUUGAGAACUGAUCAUAGUCUAAUGAGAUAACAUAGUGUCGGGUAUUUAACUGUUUCGGCUCGAUUUUAAAUUGUGGAGUACAUACUUUGGCUUAUAAAAUCAAUCUACUUUCAGGCAAAGAAUAAAUUUUGUUGGGAGCUUCCAUCGGUUAUUCCUUGAAUAUUGUCUAAUGAUGGUUUUGCUUUUAGAUUGAAGAUGAGACUUUUAUAAUAGCAGCUUUCAUGGCAACGUGUCAUCUCCAAGUCAAUUGUUCUAUCCAGUGCACUGAGUGCGUUGUUUGUGAUGUCAGCAAGUCAAUUUCUUUCCUUUUGUUUUAAAUGAAGCUUAUUCUUCCUUCUAAGCUCCAUUUUGAAUAUAAUAUACCUGUUUAGAAAUCAUUCUAGUGUCCUAUGUCUUCAGUUCUCAAAACUAUUGUCUUCGGAUUAUGCUGAUGCUGGACUUGUUGGACAUGUGAAUUAGGCGCUUUUGCCCGGUCUUUGGUAGGAUUUUACCAAAUUUAAUAUCAAGAAAGCAUACAAACAGUGGAGCUAUCGGUUGGUGAUUUAUGCUAUUUUUAGUGGUUCACGCAUAACAUUCUUCCGUUCUUUAUUAUCGUGCAUUUUAUGGAUAAUGCUAUCAAAUGAGUCG